This 382-nucleotide ribosomal RNA is filed under the name uncultured eukaryote. RNAcentral's name for it is "partial 18S ribosomal RNA". It matches the Rfam family "Eukaryotic small subunit ribosomal RNA", at positions 592 to 976 of the family's 1831-position model. The record is from RNAcentral.
UGUAAGCGUAUACCAAAGUUGUUGCAGUUAAAACGCUCGUAGUCGGAAUUUGGCGGUUCCGGAUGUGUGCACGUCGUGUGCGCACUUCGCGGGGAUUGCUUUUGUGGUCUUGCGUAGGAUGAGGCACUUUUAUUAGUGAACGUCCUCACGCAACCACUUUUUACUGUGAGAAAAUCAGAGUGCUCAAAGCAGGCAUUUGCCGUGAAUGUAUUAGCAUGGAAUAAUAGAAUAGGACUUGGUUCUAUUUUGUUGGUUUGUUGGGACUGAGUAAUGAUUAAGAGGGACAGUUGGGGGCAUUUGUAUUUCGGUGCUAGAGGUGAAAUUCUUAGAUUACCAAAAGACAAACUGCUGCGAAAGCGUCUGCCAAGGAUGUUUUCAUUGA